GACGAACGCUGGCGGCGUGCUUAACACAUGCAAGUCGAACGAAAAGAGGGAAAGAGCUUGCUCUUUCCGGAAUUGAGUGGCAAACGGGUGAGUAACACGUAAACAACCUGCCUUCAGGAUGGGGACAACAGACGGAAACGACUGCUAAUACCGAAUAAGUUCCAAGGGCCGCAUGGCCCAUGGAAGAAAAGGUGGCCUCUACCUGUAAGCUAUCGCCUGAAGAGGGGUUUGCGUCUGAUUAGCUGGUUGGAGGGGUAACGGCCCACCAAGGCGACGAUCAGUAGCCGGUCUGAGAGGAUGAACGGCCACACUGGAAUUGAGACACGGUCCAGACUCCUACGGGAGGCAGCAGUGGGGAAUCUUCCGCAAUGGGCGAAAGCCUGACGGAGCAACGCCGCGUGAGUGAUGACGGCCUUCGGGUUGUAAAACUCUGUGAUCCGGGACGAAAAGGCAGAGUGCGAAGAACAAACUGCAGUGACGGUACCGGAAAAGCAGGCCACGGCUAACUACG
This 511-nucleotide ribosomal RNA is filed under the name uncultured bacterium. RNAcentral describes it as "partial 16S ribosomal RNA". It matches the Rfam family "Bacterial small subunit ribosomal RNA", at positions 28 to 505 of the family's 1533-position model. The record is from RNAcentral.